Molecule: long non-coding RNA, 356 nt
Filed under: Mytilus galloprovincialis (Mediterranean mussel)
Lineage: Eukaryota; Metazoa; Mollusca; Bivalvia; Mytilida; Mytilidae
Source: RNAcentral
GAAAAAGAUUAUAUAUAGGAGCACCACAUCUAUUAUUUCUUACGCUGCAUUUGUAUGGGUCCCAGAUGAGCAACUCAGACCUGAGAAGUAUAAUUGAGGGUAAUGAUGUACAUAUAGUUGCGUUAUUGGUCAUAGUUUUGAAACACUACAAGGCGUCCAUCCAUAGAUAGCAUAGGAGAUAUUAUUCUCAAUGUACCCAAAUCGUCAUGAUGAUUACCAUAAAUACUUAGGAAAAAAAAGUCAAAGUUGACACGCUUACAUUACCUUGAUUAAUUAUCCUUAGAAGUCUUCAAUUAAGUUCAAUAUGUUUUAAAAGAGAGACGAAAGAUACUAAAGGGACAUUCAAACUCAUAAGU